This 107-nucleotide small nuclear RNA is filed under the name Dasypus novemcinctus (nine-banded armadillo). Lineage: Eukaryota; Metazoa; Chordata; Mammalia; Cingulata; Dasypodidae. The record is from RNAcentral.
GUGAUAGCUUCGGCAGCACAUGUACUAAAACUGGAACGAUACAGAGAAGAUUAGCAUGGCCCCUGGGUGAGGAUGAAACGCAAAUUCGAGAAGCGUUGCACAUUAAA